RNAcentral lists this long non-coding RNA (3981 nucleotides) under Homo sapiens (human). RNAcentral's name for it is "long independently transcribed non-coding RNA 3124, transcript variant 7 (LINC03124)". Lineage: Eukaryota; Metazoa; Chordata; Mammalia; Primates; Hominidae. The record is from RNAcentral.
AGUUCCUGCGACGCCCCUGCAGCAGCAGCAGCGUGGUCAGAGCGAGCUUCUGAGCGGUGGUGGGUUCCAUGUGAUGGUGGAGUAGGAGACAGGUCUCCGCGGUCAGUGGCGGGGGCGUGGACCCCACCGGGAACCCUCCCUGCUCCUUCCCUGCCUCUCCCUGUUUUCGUGCCCGCACUUCUUCGUGGGCAUCUGGGCCCGAGUCCUCCGCUUGGGGGCGGUUGUGCGGUCCUGGCUACUGCAGCGUCCGCACCCCGGCCGGGAAGGCUAUGCCAAUGUCCGACCCGCGUCCAGCGUAUAGGAGCGCCCUGGCCCACAGCUGGCGGUAAAACGCGGGACCUGGGUCCCUCGGAGCCCCAGGGGCCUCUGAGCUGGAGUCUAGGAUUAUUUUUGAUGCCUCAGCACCUUUAAAAAGAGACCUCGCUAGAGCAGGGGGCAUCUGUAUUUUCAGUUCUUUGAGGAGUCUCCAGCUAUUUAGCUGUUUUCCAUGGUUCAUCUGCGUUGCUCUAAAUGGGACUGUUUCAUUAUUUUGAUGGCUGAAGAAUAUUUCCUAGUGUAUGUAUAUGAGAGUUUCUUGAUCUCUUUAUCUGUGGAUGAACAGCUACUUUGAAAUAUAUGAUACAUUUGUGUUAAGGCUAGUCACGCUGCUGUGGAAUAGAAGGCCAGAAUUGAUCACUAUCAUCUGAGAGUAACUUUGUACCCAUCACUGAUUCCUUCCGAGACUGCCUCCACUUCCCCAGCAGCCUCUGAUUUCUUCAUGUGGCUGCAGAUGGCAGGAUUUCCCAAAGGUUUAUGGCUGCAACAUAUUCCGUGGUGUAUCUGUACAGCAGUUUCCUCAUUCCUGCAGCUGUGUUUGAACAGGUCAUUUACCAUGCGGUCCUCCAGGUUCAACAGUAUGGCUCCAAAUGAUGAAAUUUCAUUCUGAUUUUCUGGCUGAAGACUAUUCUGUUUGUGUAUGUCCACCACAGUUACUUUAUCCCUUCAUCUGUGGAUGGGCAGGAAACUCCAAACUGUCCAAGGGAUAGUUCUGUUGUGAUUACUUCAUUGAGAAAUUUAACUUAUGAGCAGUUGAAAGGAAUGCAAGUUGCUGGAAAAUCAGAAUGAAGAGUGCAAAAUGACCAAGCUACAAUGUAUUGUCAUUAUUCACUCUGAUGUGAAAAAGGCAGUGAAUUCAAUAGAAAAUAACUUUGCAGAAUAAAAUCUCAGGUGUGUUUUUUUAGUGCCACAGUCUUGGAUGAUGGGCUUCUAGAUGUUGAGUCCUAGAAGCUCUCAACAUCUCUUCUUAAUUGGAGAAAGUGUUAAGCCCCAAAGUAGCUGGAGCAGUACAUCUUCAAUUUUUGACAAGAAAGCAGGAACUUGGUUACUUUGAGUGUUAUUCAUUAGUUUCUGCUUUCAUUGAGAAUGCAGCAAAAGCCAACGAGGCUGCUGCUAACUCCUUGCUGGACAUCUUCUGCCACUAUCACAGGAACUGUGAUCUCACUGGACAAUUAACUAGGGAGCCUUUCAUCUUGAAUGACUGCUGCACAAAUGAUCUUCAAAGCAUUUUAGCCACCAGAGGAAUUCUCUUCAAAUACCCAAAAUCCAUCAGUAUCUUGAAUCAUGCUGGAUUUUGAAGAAUUCUUAACAAGCCAUGUAAAGGGGGCUCUCUGGCCUUGAAAUAGUGAUGUUUUUUAUACAGAAAGGAGAAUGCCGAAUGUUCAGACUACCAUGCACUGUUAAAUUUGAUUUCAAGAAAUUACAGGAAAACUUUCCAAAGUUCCGUCUCACAGAAUUUAUUUUUACAAAGAAUUCCAAGAUAAGUUUAGUUUUAUGGAAGAUUUUUAUGUGGUUUUUACUCACUCUUCAUCUCAGACAUCAACCGAUGAUUACAUCACUUAUUUAGCUAGUAAAUUUAUUAAUAUAAAACUCAGAGACAUUCCAAUAUCCACAUUGCUUACAUCAUCAGGCAUAGAUUCAAUGUCAGCUAUGACAAUUGAAAAUAAGCUGUUUUGUGAUUUAAAGGUUUAAAUUUCUCUAACCAAACAGCUUGAUCCAGAUGCAGCACUGCAAAUGUUAAUAUUUGUUCUGGAAGAGCAAUCAAAUAAGACUUAAGAGGAAAAGGAAUGGCCACAAUCCACCUGAAAUUUUUUUUAAAAAAGUAUGCAGCCUACUAAAUCAGAAUGAAAAUAGAAGUACAAGAUUAUAAACAAAAUGCAAUCAAACUUUUCUUAAGCUUACCUAAAGUUAUUUUAUCUGAAAAUUUCAAGCAACUUUGAUCAACAUUAAAUUGACAAUCUAAACUAACAAGUCUUUUGAAUUUAUGUAUGGUAGUAAACAUUCUCUCUAUUAAUUUUAUUACCUAAGGCUAAACCUAAAAUUUUUAAGCAAAAUUAGAAAGUCUUCACUUAUCAAAAAAUAAAGUUUGUUACAUUUAGUAUUUUCCCAAUAAAAUUGGUCAUUCUUGGUUUUUUAUUUGGAGAAUCUGUGCAAAAUUUCACUGAAAAUAAAUUAGAACUAGAAAUUAUUUCUAAAUACCAAAAAAAAAAUGAAGAAUGGUUUCACAAAGAAAAAAAGAAAACUUGCUUAAUUAGCAGAGUAUCAUCUCUGUGAUUUUUGUGAUUAUUUGAUCAGUGUCCUGAGAUGGAUACAAUGGCAAGUAAUGACAAAAUUAAAAUAAGCAUGCAGAUUUUUUUAAAUUAAGUGCCAAAAAAUAAUUGGUCAUGCAAAGCCCUUAAAAAUAUUGUGGCCUAAUUCUAAAGUUUUUUGCUACUAUGCUACAUCACACGCAACAUCAGUUAAGUGCUCAUUCUGUGACAGGUAGUACAUUACAUUUUAGCAAACUACACAAGACCCCUAUGUGAUAAUAUGCUUCAGGGUUGUAAGGUUGGGUGCAUUUACUAGUCUUGAAUUUUCUGGGAGUAUACAAACCCAAUAUUAGUCUAGAUGCCCACAAAUCUAUUUAGACGUCACAGUAGAAUGGAGAGUAAUCUUGACCACAGGAAGCUGUGUUGUGGCAUUUAUUUUGAAAUUAUUUUUUCUUGAUUUUUUUGCCUUUUGUUUUGUGAGUUUUAUAAUGUACAGAAUAUUUUUAAAUUAUUAUAUAUAUCAACUAAUUAGUCUUCAUUUAAACUUACGCCUCUGGGGUCUUACUUGGGUUUCUCCUAACAAUAUUAUACACAUAUUUGCAAUAAUUUCUCUCAUACUGCUUUUAACUCAUUUAAUUUUUCAACUUUUUAAGAAUAACAAAAGUGAUAUUAAUUGUAAAAAUGCUGAAGUGACAUAUGAAUUUAUGAAGUGCAUAUGUAUUUUUUAGUUUACCAAUGAGAUGGGAGAAAUGCUGUCUUAUAUUUUAACAUACAUUUUGGCCAUUACACAGAUGAAGCAACUUUUCAUUUGUUAAUACAUAAUGCAUACUUUUUCUUCUGUGCAAUUCCUCUUUGUAUUCUUUGCUCAUUUUCCCACUGGGAUUUGCAAGUUCUUUAUUAUUUGAUAAUCUCUAUACAUUCUGAAUAUCAAUUUUUUGUUAUAUAUACCAUGUAAAUAUUUUCUUCUAAUUUGUUAUUUGUCUUUUAAUGGUAUUUAUCAAUUGUUUGCUAAAAAUGAGUUUGUUUAGUUAGUAAAAUUUGUCUAUCUUUAACUUCAUGAUAUUUGUAUAUCAUGUCAUGAGGAAAAGGCAUGAAUAUUUUAAAAACUUCCUUGUAGUGUUAAUUUUAUUUUUUAUUUCAUUCUUUAAGUUAUUUGAAAUUUAUUGUUUAUUUCUUCAAAUUCCAAAUAAUAACCAACUUUCUCAAAGCAAUACUUCUUUCUACUGAUUUCAAACGUUACAUUUGUCUUCUCUGAAGUUCUUGUUUUUUUGAUACCUGACUGUCACACUACUGCUGUGGAUGUGCUUCAUACCAUCACAGUACUGCAGGGUUAUAAGAUUAUCUGAUAGCCAAUAGAAGCAGACGUCUACUCACUGUCAUUCUUUUGUCUUUUGGAGAAUAAAGUUAGCUAUUUUUA